Molecule: ribosomal RNA, 893 nt
Filed under: uncultured bacterium
Lineage: Bacteria
Description: bacterial SSU rRNA
Rfam family: Bacterial small subunit ribosomal RNA
Source: RNAcentral
GCGCCGAAUACUGAAUGACUAGACUUCCGGAGAGGAGACUGGAAUUUCCUGGUGUAGCGGUGAAAUGCGUAGAUAUCAGGAGGAACCCCCGGUGGUGUAGACGGCUCUCUGGACCGUAACUGACGCUGAGACACGAAAGCGUGGGUAGCAAACAGGAUUAGAUACCCUGGUAGUCCACGCCCUAAACGAUGCAUAUUUGGUGUGGGCAGUUCAUUCUGUCCGUGCCGGAGCUAACGCGUUAAAUAUGCCGCCUGGGGAGUACAGUCGCAAGGCUGAAACUCAAAGGAAUUGACGGGGGCCCGCACAAGCGGUGGAGCAUGUGGUUCAAUUCGACGCAACGCGAAGAACCUUACCUGGGCUCGAACGGCUGGUCAACGCCGGUGGAAACAUCGGUACCCCGCAAGGGGGUCCAGUCGAGGUGCUGCAUGGCUGUCGUCAGCUCGUGUCGUGAGAUGUUGGGUUAAGUCCCGCAACGAGCGCAACCCUUGUCCUGUGUUGCCAUGCCGAAAGGCGGAACUCGCAGGAGACCGCCAGCGAUAAGCUGGAGGAAGGUGGGGAUGACGUCAAGUCCUCAUGGCCUUUAUGUCCAGGGCUACACACGUGCUACAAUGGACGGUACAAAGCGCCGCUAACCCGCGAGGGGGAGCCAAUCGCAAAAAACCGUUCUCAGUUCGGAUUGCAGGCUGCAACUCGCCUGCAUGGAGCUGGAAUCGCUAGUAAUGGCAGAUCAGCACGCUGCCGUGAAUACGUUCCCGGGCCUUGUACACACCGCCCGUCACAUCACGAAAGUGGAUUGUACUAGAAGUCUGCAGGCUGACCCGCAAGGGAGGCAGCGGCCCAAGGUAUGAUCCAUGAUUGGGGUGAAGUCGUAACAAGGUAGCCGUAGGAGAACC